This 254-nucleotide ribosomal RNA is filed under the name uncultured bacterium. Its description in RNAcentral is "partial 16S ribosomal RNA". It matches the Rfam family "Bacterial small subunit ribosomal RNA", at positions 524 to 776 of the family's 1533-position model. The record is from RNAcentral.
UACGGGGGGGGCAAGCGUUGUUCGGAAUUACUGGGCGUCAAGGGCUCGUAGGCGGCCAACUAAGUCAGACGUGAAAUCCCUCGGCUUAACCGGGGAACUGCGUCUGAUACUGGAUGGCUCGAGUUUGGGAGAGGGAUGCGGAAUUCCAGGUGUAGCGGUGAAAUGCGUAGAUAUCUGGAGGAACACCGGUGGCGAAGGCGGCAUCCUGGACCAACACUGACGCUGAGUGAGCGAAAGCCAGGGGAGCAAACGGG